GACGAACGCUGGCGGCGUGCUUAACACAUGCAAGUCGAACGGAGAGGCGCUUCGCUUUCUGCUGGGUGCGAAUGGGUGGCGAACGGGUGAGUAAUAUGUGAGUCACCUUCCCCUACUUUCUGGAUAACGGGACGAAAGCGUGACUAAUACGGGAUAUUCUGGGUCUGUCGUAUGAAGGGUUUGCGACAGUUUUUGUGUCCGUGGGGGAUAGGCGCGCGGGUGAUCAGCUUGUUGGGGAGGUGAUGGCCUACCAAGGCGCCGACGGGUAGCCGGCCUGAGAGGGUAGACGGGCACAAUAGGACUGAGGGAGGGACCAGAAGGCGACGGGAGGCAGCGGUGGGGAGUAUUGCGCAAUGGGCGCGAGCGUGAGGCAGCGACGCCGCGUGAGGGAUGACGGCCUUCGAGUGGAGAACCAAUUUCACCAGGAACGAAGAGCAAGUGACGGUACCUAAAGAGGAAGCACCGGCCAACUACGUG
Molecule: ribosomal RNA, 477 nt
Filed under: uncultured bacterium
Lineage: Bacteria
Description: partial 16S ribosomal RNA
Rfam family: Bacterial small subunit ribosomal RNA
Source: RNAcentral